RNAcentral lists this ribosomal RNA (468 nucleotides) under uncultured bacterium. RNAcentral describes it as "partial 16S ribosomal RNA". It matches the Rfam family "Bacterial small subunit ribosomal RNA", at positions 28 to 507 of the family's 1533-position model. The record is from RNAcentral.
GACGAACGCUGGCGGCGUGCUUAACACAUGCAAGUCGAACGGCAAGGCCCUGCGUUUGUGGGGUGCUCGAGUGGCGAACGGGUGAGUAACACGUGAGUAACCUGCCCUUGACUUUGGGAUAACUUAAGGAAACUGGGGCUAAUACCGGAUAGGAGCUCCUGCUGCAUGGAGGGGGUUGGAAAGUCUCGGCGGUUGGGGAUGGACUCGCGGCUGACCAGCUUGUUGGUGGGGUAGUGGCUUACCAAGGCUUUGACGGGUAGCCGGCCUGAGAGGGUGACCGGCCACAAGGGGACUGAGAUACGGCCCAGACGCCUACGGGAGGCAGCAGUGGGGAAUAUGGCACAAUGGGAGGAAGCGUGAUGCAGCGACGCCGCGUGCGGGAUGACGGCCUUCGGGUUGUAAACCGCUUUCGCCUGAGACGAAGCGUGAGUGACGGUAAUGGGUAAAGAAGCACCGGCUAACUACGUG